Populus trichocarpa (black cottonwood) is the source of this 1821-nucleotide RNA transcript. RefSeq lists it as uncharacterized. Lineage: Eukaryota; Viridiplantae; Streptophyta; Magnoliopsida; Malpighiales; Salicaceae. The transcript is spliced from 10 exons. The record is from RefSeq and is a predicted model, not a curated record.
AUUUGAAGCGCGCUUUCACUGCCUUUCGCUUCUUCAAAUUUUUUUUUUUUAGUAUAAAUUUCCUUAAUUAAUAGAUAAUAAUAAUAAAGCCGCGCAAACAAUAGUGAGAGAGAGCAGCAGCAGCAACAAUGGGCUCCUCUUCUCCUUCUCUUACCCUUCUUUACUCUUUGAUAUUUGCCUCCUCUGUGUUCCUCUCACGUGCCACUCUCAAAGUUCUUGACCCUGAGAAUCCAGCUCUGGAUGUCACCCCGUCUCGCUUGCAUGGGCAUGUGUUUAGCCGUGAUGUUUUCUUUUGUGAACGAGUUAAAGUUUCUGGUCACUCGAGAUGGAAACUCAGUAGUUAUGCUAGUUCAUUUCGAGUUACUUUGGCUCCAUCUGCAGUAAUACCGGAGAGAUUGCAUAGCAAAAUUCAGGUUUGCUUUCACCGGAAUGCUUCCCUUGGAUUAUGCCAGUGUGAAAAGGAUGAUUGGAGGGCUGUUCAGAAGGGGCUGUGGAGAACUGCCAUGUCUCCUUAUGAGGAGAGAUAUGUUGAUGUAAAGUUCGUUGGUGAUACUUCUGGAUCUGUCUCAAUCGCUGUUGAUGAAGAUUUACAGCAAUGGCGCCUCAUGUGUCUAGCAGCUGGAUUUGUUUUACUAUUGCUGGCAUCAAUUGUCAGCAGUUGGGUUCCUUUUUAUUAUAGCACUUCAAUGGCUAUUGGGGUUUUUCUGGUCAUUAUAUUCCUUCUUUUUCAGGGAAUGAAAUUGCUGCCAACUGGAAGGAAAAACUUUUUCUAUCUUUCCAUAUAUGGAUCAGUGCUUGGAGCUGGCACUUUUGUUUUACAUCAAACUUCAACUCUGGUAAAUUCGAUUCUUGUCAAUUUUGGGCUGAGUGAAGAAAUGCACUAUCCAGUCUACAUAUUUGUGUUAGUAGGGAUUGUUCUUGCAGGAGCUGGUUUGGGGUACUGGAUGGUGAGGAAAUUUGUAAUCUCCAAGGAUGGGAGCGUGGAUGAUGAAGUAGCUCAGUUUGUUAAAUGGGCAACACGCAUUAUUGCAUCCACCUUUAUUUUCCAGAGCACUUUUGAUACUCCUUUAGCAAUGGCUGCCUUGGUUUCUUCUUGGGCAAUCUGUACUCUUAUUUUAAAGUGGUGGUAUCGAAUGGAUCAAUCAGAUUCUGGGGGUGCGCGUGCUUGGCUCCAGCCCACAGGACAGGUGGCAAGAUAUAGACUGCUGAAUUCCUUAGCAGGUCAGGAGAAAUGAGCCCCCAGAGGAAGAUGCGCAACAGUCCAAAAAGCCCUUCUGCUAGGACCAACUCCCCUGUUAAAGGUUUGGUAUCACCAUCUUCUCAUUCGGCAACAGUAAUAAACAGGAUUACUACUCAACCUUCCACAAGACACCAAAGCAAAAGAAGUUCACAAAGAAACAGCGGGAGGAUUUCACCAGGGAAUCAACACACCAAGCUGUGGCCCAAUGGGGAGCGUCACCGGAAGUCACCAAUUGGAUCAUCAAGAAUGCUGAUCGGAUUCAACUCUUCCAAGUGAUUAUAGCUCAGAAGAAAUGGUGGAAAGUGAAUCAGACUCCAUUCAGCCUUUUUAAUCGGCGGUGACUGGACCAGAGAAAUCACGGUAGCAAUCAGGGAUCAGGUAUUUAAAUUGUGUAGGAGGUGGCACUAGUUUAGGAAAUGUAGUUUGCUGCACCAACAAGCCGAAUGGCUUUUUCUCUAGGAUUAGCUAACCAUUUGGCUAACAGUUUGUUUCCAGAAUUAAUCUCCUAAGGACAUGCAAGGUUACCUUGUGUAAGUAAAAAAUCACAGUUGUGCACAGAAGGGAAAGCCAUUGUUAGUUCU